GUUUGAACCAUGGUUUUAAAUAAAUGCCCUUACAUUAUGUAAGAGCCGUUAUUUAUAGGUUUUUUGCACUCUUGUUAUUGUGACACCUAUUAUUUAAAGACAUAAAAAAAAUUAUUCCUAUAAUAGCCGUUAUGCUCGCUACUUAAUGGUACAACUAUUAUAUUCCAUAAUUAACGGUAACAAUAUGUUACCUCAUUUAUUGUUUUAAACCAGA
RNAcentral lists this unclassified non-coding RNA (214 nucleotides) under Hevea brasiliensis (rubber tree). The record is from RNAcentral. Lineage: Eukaryota; Viridiplantae; Streptophyta; Magnoliopsida; Malpighiales; Euphorbiaceae.